CCUACGGGUGGCAGCAGUGGGGAAUAUUGGGCAAUGGGCGCAAGCCUGACCCAGCAACGCCGCGUGAAGGAAGAAGGCCUUCGGGUUGUAAACCUCUGUUAAGAGGGAAGAGCAGAAGACGGAACCACUGGAAUAAGCCACGGCUAACUCCGCGCCAGCAGCCGCGGUAAUACGGAGGUGGCAAGCGUUGUACGGAGUUACUGGGUGUAAAGGGCGGGCAGCCGGGAUGACAAGUCAGAUGUGACAUCCCUCGGCUCAACCGCGGAACUGCAUUUGAAACUGUUUUUCUUGCGUACCGGAGAGGUCAUCGGAAUUCCUUGUGUAGCGGUGAAAUGCGUCGAUAUAUGGAAGAACCCCGGUGGC
Molecule: ribosomal RNA, 363 nt
Filed under: uncultured bacterium
Lineage: Bacteria
Description: partial 16S ribosomal RNA
Rfam family: Bacterial small subunit ribosomal RNA
Source: RNAcentral